RNAcentral lists this ribosomal RNA (515 nucleotides) under Metschnikowia pulcherrima. RNAcentral describes it as "eukaryotic LSU rRNA". It matches the Rfam family "Eukaryotic large subunit ribosomal RNA", at positions 66 to 670 of the family's 3401-position model. Lineage: Eukaryota; Fungi; Ascomycota; Pichiomycetes; Serinales; Metschnikowiaceae. The record is from RNAcentral.
CCCCUGUCAUGCCUCAGUACGGCGAGUGAGCGGCAAAAGCUCAAAUUUGAAAUCCCCCGGGAAUUGUAAUUUGAAGAGAUUUGGGUCCGGCCGGCAGGGGUUAAGUCCACUGGAAAGUGGCGCCACAGAGGGUGACAGCCCCGUGAACCCCUUCAAAGCCCUCAUCCCAGAUCUCCAAGAGUCGAGUUGUUUGGGAAUGCAGCUCUAAGUGGGUGGUAAAUUCCAUCUAAAGCUAAAUACCGGCGAGAGACCGAUAGCGAACAAGUACAGUGAUGGAAAGAUGAAAAGCACUUUGAAAAGAGAGUGAAAAAGUACGUGAAAUUGUUGAAAGGGAAGGGCUUGCAAGCAGACACUUAACUGGGCCAGCAUCGGGGCGGCGGGGAGCAAAACCACCGGGGAAUGUACCUUUCGAGGAUUAUAACCCCGGCCCUUACUCCCAUACCACCCCGAGGCCUGCAAUCUAAGGAUGCUGGCGUAAUGGUUGCAAGUCGCCCGUCUUGGAAACACGGACCAAA